RNAcentral lists this non-coding RNA (25 nucleotides) under Mus musculus (house mouse). The record is from RNAcentral. Lineage: Eukaryota; Metazoa; Chordata; Mammalia; Rodentia; Muridae.
UGUAAGGACUGCCAUUUCCCCCCUC